Molecule: long non-coding RNA, 1755 nt
Organism: Triplophysa rosa
Lineage: Eukaryota; Metazoa; Chordata; Actinopteri; Cypriniformes; Nemacheilidae
Exons: 3
Source: RefSeq, a predicted model, not a curated record
CAUUCUUUGUUGUAAAUGCAGCUUAAUAUGAUGCGGGAGCGAUACAAGACCAGGGUUCAAAUUGAGGGGGGGCUGGGGCGGUCCCGGACCCCUCAUAAGGUCUAAAAUAAUGAAUUUGGGGGUCCCCUGGUUUUCCAUUAAAACUAGACUACUAAAAACCCAAAAUUAGUUUUCUCAAAAUUAUCACGCUAAAACAAAACACAGUUGUCCGUUAUUUGUCCAAAUUUCAUGAGACACAAAUAAAAUUUACAUUUUUAUCUGAAAAAUCCAUGCAUGCUCAAGCGCGCCACGCAGUGUUCGAUGAAGACGUACAGAUGUUGUGUUAUGAUUCUGCCUCAUCUUGUCAUGUAUUUCUUGGUCUGGUGGCAGAACCAUGGCAAAACCUCUUGUUAGGUGUGGAGAGAAACAUAUUAUUGUUCCCUUGACAUAAUAUGCGUUCUCUCUGGUGUCCCGUCUCUAAGCCCCGCCCUCUCGUUACCUCGUUAGCUUCUCCUUAGUGUUUGAUCCUUGUCACCUGCCCGUCACCCUCCCUGUGUUAUCAUCCCUCGUUUGUUUUCCCCUAUUUAAAGCCUCUGUUUUUCCUGUCCGGUGUUAGUUCAUUGUUCAAUGUUCCUCGUCUGUUGUUGUUCCAAGGGCCUGUGCCCGGUUGCAUAAAGCACCUUAAGUUUUUCCCUUAAGUGAUACACUUAAGGGGUGAUUUCCCCUUAUCUAAGGGAAUACCUUAAGGCCGUUGCAUAAAAUCCCUUAAAGGUUUCCCUUACCUAAGGGAAGUGUUUAAGUGUUUCACGACAUCGUCGCAGGUUUGCCGUUAUAAAAUUAUGUCGUUGCCAUAGAUACGCUUCUGUUUACACAAACGCAGAGGUUUCACGGGAGUUGGAGGACAAAACCCAUUGAGAAAUGGAUAAAGAAAACAAAAAAAGGAAGCCAAAUUGGACAGAGGAGGAGAAAUGUAUUCUUCUAGAUGAAUACGGGAAAAGAAAGGCCAUUUUAAAAAGCAAACUAAAUCCCAACGUAACUGCGUCACAAAAACAAAAGCAAUGGGAUGAAAUAACGGAAAAAAUAAACGCACGAAAUCUCGAUGUGAAGAGGACGGUUCAGGAGGUCAUAAAAAAUACGAAAACAUCUCUGUGGUAGCUAAAAAAGAGCUGAGUCUUUAUAAGAGGGAAUCCAACAAAACGGGUAAGUUAAAACUACACUAUUGCAUUUUUAAGAUUAUGUUAUCACUGCACCGUAUAGUGGAGAGUGCGUUGUGCUGCCGUAUAGUGUCACAGAGAGCUAACGAAAACUAAACUAACAAACAGGUGGAGGACCACCGCCGGCCGACUUGUCGGACUGUACCAAAAUUGUGCAAGACAUCCUUGGGGCGGACUCACCUAUCCUAGCUGGCAUUCCUGGCGGAAUAGAGAGCGAAGUUGAGCCAGUGCAACAAUGUAUCACAGAACCUUUACAGCCGUCUGAGGAACAGCAGAUACAGCACCGCCAGAGCGCCAGCAGAGCACCUGCCCAGGCAACAGCUAUAAGACCGCAAACAGUUCCAACAAGAGAAGAAGUGUUGGAACUACAGAGAGAGGUUCUGCAGCUACAAAAAGAAAAACUGCAGCUAGAGAUUGAGAAAAUAAGGAAGGAGAAGGAAAAUCAGGAACUCUAUCAAAUUAUUCUAAACAACCAACUUUUGCAGCUUCAGAGAGAAGGGAAAAUAACAAUCACACCAUUUGAGGAAUAAAUACUUUUUGUAUGGCAGAUCUGAAAAGUAUU